CAAGUCGAGUGCGCGGUUGUAGCAAUACAACUGGCGCACGGCGCACGGGUGCGUAACACGUGGGUAACCUGCCCUUUGGUGGGGAAUAACUCCGCGAAAGCGGAGCUAAUUCCGCAUAAGAUCCGCAAGGAUGAAAGCAGCAAUGCGCCGAAGGAGGGGCCCGCGCCCGAUUAGCUAGUUGGUGAGGUAAUGGCUCACCAAGGCUUUGAUCGGUAGCUGGUCUGAGAGGAUGAUCAGCCACACUGGAACUGAGACACGGUCCAGACUCCUACGGGAGGCAGCAGUGGGGAAUCUUGCACAAUGGGCGAAAGCCUGAUGCAGCGACGCCGCGUGGGGGAUGAAGCAUUUCGGUGUGUAAACCCCUUUCGAUCCGGACGAAACCCCGCAAGGGAUUGACGGUACGGAUAUAAGAAGCCCCGGCUAACUACGUGCCAGCAGCCGCGGUAAGACGUAGGGGGCCAGCGUUGUUCGGAAUUACUGGGUGUAAAGGGUUCGUAGGCGGUGCGGCAAGUUGGGAGUGAAAUCUCUGGGCUUAACCCAGAGGCUGCUUCCAAAACUGCUGUGCUUGAGUGUGGGAGAGGCGCGUGGAAUUGCAGGUGUAGCGGUGAAAUGCGUAGAUAUCUGCAGGAACACCCGUGGCGAAAGCGGCGCGCUGGACCACUACUGACGCUGAGGAACGAAAGCUAGGGGAGCAAACAGGAUUAGAUACCCUGGUAGUCCUAGCCCUAAACGAUCAGGACUUGGGGUGCCACCCGUUCGGGUGUCGUCCCGGAGCUAACGCGUUAAGUCCUGCACCUGGGGAGUACGGUCGCAAGACUGAAACUCAAAGGAAUUGACGGGGGCCCGCACAAGCGGUGGAACAUGUGGUUCAAUUCGACGCUACGCGAGGAACCUUACCUGGGCUCGAAA
RNAcentral lists this ribosomal RNA (909 nucleotides) under uncultured Bacillota bacterium. RNAcentral's name for it is "bacterial SSU rRNA". It matches the Rfam family "Bacterial small subunit ribosomal RNA", at positions 58 to 986 of the family's 1533-position model. The record is from RNAcentral. Lineage: Bacteria; Bacillati; Bacillota.